Dermacentor albipictus is the source of this 658-nucleotide long non-coding RNA. RefSeq lists it as uncharacterized. The record is from RefSeq and is a predicted model, not a curated record. Lineage: Eukaryota; Metazoa; Arthropoda; Arachnida; Ixodida; Ixodidae.
GAAGAUCGCGAGACUCUGGUUGCUGCUGGUUGUUCGUGGUCUGCCAUCUUAACCACUCAGACUCACUUUGUAUAUAUAUUGUCGGAUGCGUUCCUGGCUCGAGCCGCACUCCAUAUGUCACAAGCGUAGAGUUGCAUAGCGGCUGAUUUCGGCACGCCGCCACCACCGAGAGAACGGCUCAAGCGCCCCAUACGUGACCUUUAAACCACACCAAAUUUGAAAGCACAUUUUGUGGAAAUGCCGAAGCAGCAGGCCCUCCAGGGAUCAUCUCUCCAUUGUGCAUACGACGAGGGCCCAUAAAGAAUGAUGCACGUCGAUCAUAAGACGCUACAGCAAGCUCCAUAGGUUGAGAUGUCGGCUGCCCGCAGUCUCCCCGCCAAACCGUUUGGCCCCUGCGGCGAAGCUCAACACAAGGCAACGCCAGUGUGCGAAGAGAGACGCCCAUAUGCUUGCCCAGCGCACGAGAUGGCUGUCGCGCCGGUGGGCUUAAGCGGCAAGGCAAACACACUUAGGCUUGACGGCCGAAAUAAAGGAGCAAAGAAAAUGUAGACGACGACGUACAGCAAUACCGGAGAAGCGGAGAUGAACAGCACACAUAGCUCCGGGCUUUGAAGUGCCGCGCCGCCGCUUCACAGAAGAGGCGGCUUCUGCGGCAAUA